UAGCAGGAUUCCCCUAGUAACUGCGAGUGAAGCGGGAAAAGCUCAAAUUUUAAAUCUGGCGGUCCUUUGCGGCCGUCCGAGUUGUAAUCUAGAGAAGUGCUUACCCGCGCUGGACCGUGUACAAGUCUCCUGGAAUGGAGCGUCAUAGAGGGUGAGAAUCCCGUCUUCGACACGGACUGCCAGGGCUUAUGUGGUGCGCUCUCGAAGAGUCGAGUUGUUUGGGAAUGCAGCUCUAAAUGGGUGGUAAAUUCCAUCUAAAGCUAAAUACAGGCGAGAGACCGAUAGCGAACAAGUACCGUGAGGGAAAGAUGAAAAGAACUUUGGAAAGAGAGUUAAACAGUACGUGAAAUUGCUGAAAGGGAAACGUUUGAAGUCAGUCGCGUUGGCUGGGGAUCAACCUUGCUCUUGCAGGGCGCACUCUCUGGUUUCGACGGGUCAGCAUCAGUUUUGGUCGCUGGAGAAAGGCUAGGGGAAUGUGGCAUCGCUUCGGUGAUGUGUUAUAGCCCUUGGUUGUAUGCAGCGGUUGGGACUGAGGAACUCAGCGCGCGCCUCUUCACGGGGGUGCCGGGUCUUUCGAGACCACGCUUACGCGCUUAGGAUGCUGGCAUAAUGGCUUUAAGCGACCCGUCUUGAAACACGGACCAAGGAGUCUAACAUGCUUGCGAGUGUUUGGGUGGAAAACCCGAGCGCGUAAUGAAAGUGAAAGUUGGGAACCCUGUCGUGGGGUGCACCGACGCCCGGACCAGACCUUCUUGUGACGGCUCCGCGGUAGAGCAGGCAUGUUGGGACCCGAAAGAUGGUGAACUAUGCCUGAAUAGGGUGAAGCCAGAGGAAACUCUGGUGGAGGCUCGUAGCGAUUCUGACGUGCAAAUCGAUCGUCAAAUUUGGGUAUAGGGGCGAAAGACUAAUCGAACCAUCUAGUAGCUGGUUCUGC
RNAcentral lists this ribosomal RNA (934 nucleotides) under Cyclocybe cylindracea. RNAcentral's name for it is "partial large subunit ribosomal RNA". It matches the Rfam family "Eukaryotic large subunit ribosomal RNA", at positions 67 to 960 of the family's 3401-position model. Lineage: Eukaryota; Fungi; Basidiomycota; Agaricomycetes; Agaricales; Hemipholiotaceae. The record is from RNAcentral.